RNAcentral lists this ribosomal RNA (504 nucleotides) under uncultured soil bacterium. RNAcentral describes it as "bacterial SSU rRNA". It matches the Rfam family "Bacterial small subunit ribosomal RNA", at positions 9 to 508 of the family's 1533-position model. The record is from RNAcentral.
GAGUUUGAUCCUGGCUCAGAUUGCUUGCUAGCGGGAUGCCUUACACAUGCAAGUCGAACGGCAGCACGGACUUCGGUCUGGUGGCGAGUGGCGAACGGGUGAGUAAUGUAUCGGAACGUGCCUAGUAGCGGGGGAUAACUACGCGAAAGCGUAGCUAAUACCGCAUACGCCCUACGGGGGAAAGCAGGGGAUCGCAAGACCUUGCACUAUUAGAGCGGCCGAUAUCGGAUUAGCUAGUUGGUGGGGUAACGGCUCACCAAGGCGACGAUCCGUAGCUGGUUUGAGAGGACGACCAGCCACACUGGGACUGAGACACGGCCCAUACUCCUACGGGAGGCAGCAGUGGGGAAUUUUGGACAAUGGGGGAAACCCUAAUCCAGCCAUCCCGCGUGUGCGAUGAAGGCCUUCGGGUUGUAAAGCACUUUUGGCAGGAAAGAAACGUCAUGGGCUAAUACCCCGUGAAACUGACGGUACCUGCAGAAUAAGCACCGGCUAACUACGUGC